ACCUUCUCGACUCACGACUCCUGAGCCUUCUCCACUUUACGUAAUGAAAGCAAUGACCCUCGUGCUGGUGGUAACCGUGGUCCUGACGGCAUUGUUGGACGUGGAGGCUAUGCCAGAACCACUCCCGGAGCCGUUUCCAGAAGCAAUAGCCAGUCGUGGUGGCCAUUACAGCCGAUAUGGUAGCUACAGCGGUGGUCAUGGAAGGUAUGGCGGAGGUUACAGUGCACAUCGUACACCCUACCGCCCCUACCGUCGUGGAUACAGCGUCGUGGAGUACGAGACCUACCACUAAUAGAUUGAGACAAGUAACAUGCAAGAUACGAGAGCCGCAUCAAUGCCCGUGGCUUCAGUUUUCGACCAACUCCAAGAAAACUUGACUCUUCCAAAACCAUUACCACCGUUACGGUUCUGUUUCUUAUGACCCAAUAAAUUACCACUCAUUUAUGUUUUAUUGAAUGUAAAUAAAUUAAAAGAUGC
Eriocheir sinensis (Chinese mitten crab) is the source of this 477-nucleotide long non-coding RNA. RefSeq lists it as uncharacterized. Lineage: Eukaryota; Metazoa; Arthropoda; Malacostraca; Decapoda; Varunidae. The transcript is spliced from 2 exons. The record is from RefSeq and is a predicted model, not a curated record.